AGCUCCCUGCAGGGACCUCUCAGCCCUGCAGGGGAGCCCAGGCUAUGUGCCAGGCCUGGCCUUGCUGUCAGCUUUCUAAGCCAGUCACAAACAUUCUCCUCUCAACUUUAUAAUGGAUGCCCCCCAGCCUCCUCUCCCCUCUCAGGGUGCUCCUGAGGCUAUGAGCAGCUGGCAGUUCCCUGUCUGAGAGGUCCUUCGUACCGCAGGAGAGGCAGCUCUCACCUGAAGGCCUCCCUGGACACCGGUCUCAACUUUGUGUGUUACCAGUUAUGGAGAAUUAUUUUUAGUGAGUUACACUCUGUUAGGGCCAAACACAAGGAGGAAAGAGUGACUGAAUACUGCUCUGAGUCAGUGACUGUGACAAGACUGUUUUUUUCUUCUUCCCUGUUGCAGGCCUGAUCUUUUGGCCAGAAGGAGAUUAAAAAGAUGCCCCUCAAGAUGGCUGUGCCUGUCAGCUGCAUGGAGCUUCGUUCAAGUAUUUUCUGAGCCUGAUGGAUUUACAGUGAUCUUCAGUGGUCUGGGGAAUAACGCUGGUGGAACCAUGCACUGGAAUGACACACGCCCGGCACAUUUCAGGAUACUAAAAGUGGUUUUAAGGGAGGCUGUGGCUGAAUGCCUCAUGGAUUCUUACAGCUUGGAUGUCCAUGGGGGACGAAGGACUGCAGCUGGCUGAGAGGGUUGAGAUCUCUGUUUACUUAGAUCUCUGCCAACUUCCUUUGGGUCUCCCUAUGGAAUGUAAGACCCCGACUCUUCCUGGUGAAGCAUCUGAUGCACGUUCCAUCCGGCGCUCAGCUGGGCUUGAGAAUCAAGAGAUGCAUAUGCAGGUUUGUUACAGAGGUAUAUGGGAUGCGGUUGAAGUUUGGAGUAUGAUUGAACUCAUCACGCAGGACUUCGCAGGUGAGCAGUAACGGAAAUCAGCCCCGUUUAUUCCUCCCAGCACCUGCCUUAUCCAACUCCCCACGCUGUGGCUGAGUCCCAGCCUGCUAUGGAAGCAUCACUGGACUCCCAUUGAACUCUGUGCAGAUUCGCUGUUCGUAGACAUGGUACCUGAUGGACACCAAGCUACGUACAGCUUCAAGGCCCCUUCUUUCUUUGCUAAUAAAAAAUAAAAAAUAAAAACAUAA
Homo sapiens (human) is the source of this 1124-nucleotide long non-coding RNA. Ensembl annotates it as Pvt1 oncogene. Its record names the gene PVT1. NCBI's taxonomy places the organism in Eukaryota, Metazoa, Chordata, Mammalia, Primates, Hominidae. The record is from Ensembl.